Molecule: small nuclear RNA, 121 nt
Gene: U1
Rfam family: U1 spliceosomal RNA
About the family: U1 is a small nuclear RNA (snRNA) component of the spliceosome (involved in pre-mRNA splicing). Its 5' end forms complementary base pairs with the 5' splice junction, thus defining the 5' donor site of an intron.
Source: Ensembl
AGACUUUACCUGGCAGGGGAGAAACCGUGAUCAAGAAAGUGGUUCACCCAGGGUGAGGCUCAGCCAGUGGGAAUCUCGACUGCAUAAUUUCUGGUAGUGGGGAAAAAAUUUAUGGGCCUGG